UACGUAGGGAGCAAGCGUUGUCCGGAAUCAUUGGGCGUAAAGAGCGUGUAGGCGGCCUGAUAAGUCGGCUGUGAAAGUCAAGGGCUCAACCCUUGAAUGCCGGCCGAUACUGUCAGGCUAGAGUCCGGAAGAGGCGAGUGGAAUUCCUGGUGUAGCGGUGAAAUGCGCAGAUAUCAGGAGGAACACCUAUGGCGAAGGCAGCUCGCUGGGACGGUACUGACGCUGAGACGCGAAAGCGUGGGGAGCGAACAGG
RNAcentral lists this ribosomal RNA (253 nucleotides) under uncultured bacterium. Its description in RNAcentral is "partial 16S ribosomal RNA". It matches the Rfam family "Bacterial small subunit ribosomal RNA", at positions 524 to 776 of the family's 1533-position model. The record is from RNAcentral.